Molecule: long non-coding RNA, 5444 nt
Filed under: Bemisia tabaci
Lineage: Eukaryota; Metazoa; Arthropoda; Insecta; Hemiptera; Aleyrodidae
Description: lncRNA ENSSSA2NGG005954
Source: RNAcentral
AUGGUUGAAGAAAAAGUAAGAGGACCAAGAAACAUUGAAGAGAUGGAGACAAGAGUCAUCAAAUUCAAUUACUUCCUACUGACUCUGUGUUAUAUGUUUGGAUUUUACUAUAUGAUCCAAGGUCUUUUGUUCUAUAGUGGAAAAUUCACUUUGCUGAAAGUGCCGAUAAUCAUUCAAGGUAUCCUGGCCAAAGCGCUCAUCAUCAUAGGCGGAAAUUGUAUUCUAAUAAUAUCUGUCGGCUGCCAUGCAAUGCGAGGACACUUGUUAUUCUUGGCUUUGCAUGCAAUCAGUUCAGUCAUCAUACUGACAGGUCUAGUGGCAAUCAGCGUAUACUUAAUGACACAACUUCUGUCGCUGAGUGAUAUCAUCUAUACUGAUAUGAGAGUGCUCAUAAAUUCCUACGAUAUGGAUCCAGUAAACAGACAUUCCAUGGAUGUAAUUCAAAAGGAGGGUAAAUGUUGCGGUUGUCGCUCGAUUGAUGACUGGCUGCCAAAAAAUGAAGUACCCUCUGCAUGUAUUGAUGCCACAUUUACAAAAAUAUAAGUUUUUCUUCGGAAAAAAAGAUAGUUUUUAGGGGAAUUUCAAAUGAUACAACGACUGCUCCCAUUCAUAGUCCUUGGAACAAUGCCAACAGGGUUUUGUCACAAAAAUGGCUGUUAUUCGUCAUACAGGCAGUUGAUUUCAAGGAAUUUAAGUAUUCUUCUUACAAUUUUUAUCCUAAAUUCUGUGCUUUUGGUAAGUUGACAUGAGAUAAUAUUUUUUUUUUUAAAUUUAAAACAUUUCUAGGAAUCUGAAAAUAGUACUUGGUUUGAGUAACUUGUAAUUCCUUAUUUGAUUCUGUGAUACAAUGAUGAAUACCAUUGGUUUAGUUCUGAAUAUUGAUGGGUACAGUCUAGAAAUGCAUACCUUCAUGCCUGCAUUUCAAAAUAUCCGAUUAUGAUUAAGUUUGUAAAAGAAGACUAAUAAUAAUAUCUCCUAAAAAUGUUCUGUAAAAAUUGUUGAAUGGGUGAGGAAAAUUAGGAGAAAAACAAAUGAUUGGUUUUCUUUAAAAAUUAAUUUGAGAUCUUGUGAUUAAAAUGGGCAGUUUUUUACUUUAGCUAUCCAUAUAUGAAUCUCAGGAAGCAUAUAUUGAAAUUUUCGUUAAUAUCUUUUCUUCUCAUCCAUUUGGGCGGUAAAUUGGUUGCGGCACUAUCCAUUUGUUGAAAAUUUCUGAAUUCAUUCAUUGUAUUAUAGGGAAUCAGCAUUUAUAUUCAGAGUUACUUUUUUGUUGAAACUGCUCUCAAAGAGGAAGAACAAUGCAUUGCAGUGGCUGAGGCUUCCAGAGAGGAACAAAGGCAAAUAGUCCGACUGAGAAACCAGUCGUCAGGAAGACUUUUUUGUUCCACUCCAACUCAAUACGACGAAUCAUUUGAAAUCGUCGAAUUCACGGAAUCGGAGGAAGAUAUAGUUUACCCAAAAUCUAAAUGGGAAAAAUUUUGGCAGACUUUCAUUGGUAGCGAGAGUCUAUUCGCUUCGAGGUACAUGUCUUCUCAAAGAAGACCUCAUAGGAGAGCCUUGGUAAGAAUUCAUAAUUUUCUUGUGUCACUAACUCAUUUUUUUUCUUGAUGCUGCCUCGGAAGGUGCUUGAGUGUUUGCUUCUGAUCAAUCAUAGGAGUACUUGAUAGUACACAGACAUGGGAUUAUAUUUUCACUUAAUGUUGUUCUAUUUUAUGGCUGACCUGCUUGUGAGGCUGUUUGAUUUUUUUACAACUCUUGAUAUGAUCAGGGUAAUGGUCUGGCUCUGGUAAUGGUUCUCGAUCAUUUCGAACAUGGAGCAUCCAUCUUGCAGAUUUGAGCAAAUAUUAAACAUGCGAAUAUAAUGGAGAUAAUGCACAAGUAAAGCAUUCAAAAUUUUCUAUUUUUGCGAGUUAAAACACCAAAUUUCAUUUUAAGUAGUUUGAGAGAAACUUUAAAAUCCAGUAAAAAGUUUUCAGUCCCUUCACUUUAAGUGAGUUACUCUCCGAUUUGAGAGCAAAAUUACAUCAGUCAGUUUAACACCCAGCUUUUUAUUGCUGGUCAGUUGAGCAACUGCAGCUUACAAAUAAUUACUUUUAGGGUUAGAAGACAGGUUCAACGAAAGUGUCUUUGAAUUUAUUUUUUUGUUUCAGAAUUCUGAGGAAAAUGAUGGGAACGACAUGGUUCACUGGAUGUACUACUUCUAGAUAACAAAAAAAGGUACCGUUUUAAACAAAAAAUAUAAUUGUGAAAUUGAUUUAUUUUAAAAUUCUUUUUUCCUCUAUCAAAUGUAUGGGAACAGAUUCUUAAUUGUAUGAACAUGUAAAGUGAACUCAAGAAAAGGAACCAAUCUGCGCUUAAAAAUAAAAACAUUCAUAUAAAAAGAUCCUUUUGGUAAAAUUGAUGUACAUGAAUUACUAUAGCUUUUAAAAUGAUGCAACAUUUUUUGUUAUUUAUUUAAAAUCGAAUAAAUUACAUUUGAUCUUUCCUGCACAGUACAUUUCUGUAAAGAAGAAGAAGAAAAUUUACACUGACCCUGAGACUAAAAUAAUUAAUUAUUCUACAAUUAAUGUGAGGCUAAAAACAAUCAUACAAACACUGAAACGUAUCGUGCAGAAAUAGAUUCUUCUUGAGGUUUUUCUAACAUUUGAAUUAUAAAUUUUCAAAAAAAUGGGUGUUGAGCAAGUUAUAUAGAGCACGGCUCUCUUACUAACGACCAGAAAUUCAGUCAAUGAUUCACAUUGAUAUUUUAUACCUGGGCCUUAGACAAGGUUCGAGUUGAGAUCUUGUCCGGAAAAAGUGUCACAUGUUUUCCCUUCAGAAUCUUACGUAGAAAUCGAUUCACAAAACAAGGAGUUAAAAAAUCAACUCCGGAACGAAAUAUUAGUAUUUUUAGCACGGAGUAAAUUCCCCACAAGAAAUUUUUAACAAAUGAUAUACUGCAACAUGCUUUAAUUCAUGCCUUGUCUAGAGGCCCAUUCAAAACAGCAUUUAGAAAAUGAGUUUACGUUCAGUCAUGACAUCAAAUAUAUAAUUUUUGGAUUGUUUCUAACUUCCCCUUCCAUUAUUUUCUUGAAUGUAACUAGUUAUCAUUAAAAGGGCACCAUGGUUUCAAACUAGGCUUUCAUUAUUUUUCAGGGAAUUUUUGAUAGCUGAGUGAAAAAACCGUUGUUAGUCUAACAGAGGUUUCAUGGAAAGACAUGGUAAUGAUGACAAUGAUACAAAAAAAAAAAAAAAAAAAAAAAAAGCAGGGUAACAUCCUUAGAUGCAAUGAAUUGGAGAAACAAGAAAAUGAUUAUUUGGAUUCUCGGGUUUUUAAUUUUUUAAUUUUCUCUUCUGUUACUAUCUUUGAAGAGGCUUAUUUUUUAAAAUAAAUUACUCAGUCCUACCUAAAAUUGUUUCUAAGAGGGUACAAUCUAAAUUAGUUUAAUUUUUUUUUAUAUCCUUCUGAAGUAGAGUCCAACCAAAUAAGUUUACUCACCUUUAGAACACUGGAGAAUUACCAAAGAGGAUCUGCCAUCAUGAUUCUUCCAUUUACUAUUGACGCUACACUGAAAACAGCUAAUUUUCUGUUGCACGCUAAAGGUGCACAAACUUAUUUUGCAUAGACUCUAAGAACAUUAACAACCAACAUUCACAUUUCAUAUGACUGCUAAAAAAGCAGGCUCUUCAAGACAAUGACCUACCGUUUGGCCCUGUGCCAAAGGGCAUUGCGAGUAAAAUUGAUUACCUAUUUUAUAAAAAAAAUUAGAAUUAGUAUCACUAAUAUUUUAGAUGCAGGGCAUCUGUUCUAUACUUCAGUGGCUCCUCCGAAAAAGUAGAUCUGGAUGAUUUUAAAGAUUUUUUACAAGUAUUCUAUCCAAAGUGUUUUAUAUACAUGCAUUUGAUAAAUGGCAAUAAAAAAAAUUCAGGUACCUGGAUCAAUUGAGAUACUAAUUAGAAUGAUAAUAAUACAUACUGUUUUGUUACUAAAUCCAAAAGGAUUGGGUAGUAAACCUUUUGGAGGGGUAUUUGUCCCUUUUUCAAGAUUUGACUUAAGGCCUCUUUUAACCUGUUUAAUGGAGCUCCACCACCCUCAGGAGAAACCUGCAAAAAUUGAGUUAAAAUUAAAAAAAAACAAAAUAACUGCACAACGUGAAAAAAGUUAUCGUUUAAGUUCAAAUCAAUGAUAAUGAAAAGAUUAAAAGGAAAUUUAGGUUUCGAGAGAAAAGAAAGUUGAUGGAAUACAAUAUAAAUAUAUCUUCUGAACCUUCUUGCAGAGCUUGCCACGUCCACGUUCAUCUGUUUGGAGCAAGAUGAAAAAAUGCAUCUGCGGUGCGGCUGCUUUUGCUGCAGUGCGCUUAUUUUAUACCUAUAUUAAGUUGGGAUUUGAUGAGUUUUGCGAAUCAACAUGUUUCCAAAUGCUCAUAACCAUAGAGCAUUUAUUUCCAGCGCUAUUUCAUUUUUAAGAAAAAAAGAAUAAGGCUGGUUUUGCAAAUGUGCUCCUCAUUGGUAGCAUGUUCUUCCUCAAUCUCAUUUUUACAAGGAACUUUGUUGGGUCAUUUAUUUCAUUUGGUGCAUUUGUAUGAAAAUAAACUUUUUUAUUAUAUAAUAAUUAGGCACUAAAGCCAAUGGAUAUCAAACCUAAUCUAACAGUACACUCAUUUUUUUGGUCGCAAAUUUCGAUUUAAAAAAUUGACUUUUUUAAAUAAUUUGUAAUCAGAGCAAUCGUUCACACCAGUCAUCUUUGUAGAAUUUAAAUUUUUGAUACAUAACUCUAAAGUCUGAGAUGGAAUGAAGAGGUUGUUUUUUUUGAAACCUGUAAAUGUGGUCGAAAAUACAGAGGAGGUUAAAUUUUUUUAAGUUAUUGAUGCAAAGAAGAGAUGAUAGACAAACUGCGACAAAGUUGAAGACAGAAAAUUCACUUACCUUUUCAAUUAACGGAAAAUAUUCUUUACAGAUAAAUGCUAAUAGCUUUUGGAAUUGUUUCUGGUAAAAUUUAGCCAUGUCAGGUCCUGCAACUUGUAUAAAAUCUAGGAGGAAUGUUGCUGUGACAUCAGGUACAGGCUCUGAAAAGUACACAAAUUAUAUUAAACACCUAUUUAUAAAUUGAGAAAGGCGAUGUUUUUCUUAAUUUGUAUUGAAUAAUGGAUAUCAUCAUUUUUAAUCAAUACAGUAAUAAAUAAAGAAAAUUGGGAGCAGGCAACUGUCCUAAGGAAAAAGGACUCGGAUAUCCGAAAUUCCAAAUUGAAAUAAUUGGGCCACAAUUUAACAGAGUGCUUCACAACAUUUCGGGGUAACAGAUACCAGACCAGAAUUAUGACGAUCAAAAAGACUCUGCGGGGAAAAUCAAAAUGAUGCGGAGCUGGCUAAAUUUGGUUACUAUUUGAUUUGAUGUUUUUUUACGACCUCCUGAGCAAGAUGAGCUUUGAAUCAUUCUUUCUAUGCACUUAUAUUGAGAGAGGCGAUGC